UGGGGAAUUUUGGACAAUGGGCGAAAGCCUGAUCCAGCCAUGCCGCGUGAGUGAAGAAGGCCUUCGGGUUGUAAAGCUCUUUUAGUCGGAAAGAAAGAGUCGCAAUGAAUAAUUGUGAUUUAUGACGGUACCGACAGAAAAAGCACCGGCUAACUACGUGCCAGCAGCCGCGGUAAUACGUAGGGUGCGAGCGUUAAUCGGAAUUACUGGGCGCAAAGGGUGCGCAGGCGGUCUUGCAAGACAGAUGUGAAAGCCCCGGGCUUAACCUGGGAAUUGCGUUUGAAACUACAAGGCUAGAGUGCAGCAGAGGGGAGUGGAAUUCCAUGUGUAGCAGUGAAAUGCGUAGAGAUGUGGAAGAACACCGAUGGCGAAGGCAGCUCCCUGGGUUGACACUGACGCUCAUGCACGAAAGCGUGGGGAGCAAACA
Molecule: ribosomal RNA, 427 nt
Filed under: uncultured beta proteobacterium
Lineage: Bacteria; Pseudomonadati; Pseudomonadota; Betaproteobacteria
Description: bacterial SSU rRNA
Rfam family: Bacterial small subunit ribosomal RNA
Source: RNAcentral